GAUGAACGCUGGCGGCGUGCCUAAUACAUGCAAGUCGAGCGAACGGACGAGAAGCUUGCUUCUCUGAUGUUAGCGGCGGACGGGUGAGUAACACGUGGAUAACCUACCUAUAAGACUGGGAUAACUUCGGGAAACCGGAGCUAAUACCGGAUAAUAUUUUGAACCGCAUGGUUCAAAAGUGAAAGACGGUCUUGCUGUCACUUAUAGAUGUAUCCGCGCUGCAUUAGCUAGUUGGUAAGGUAACGGCUUACCAAGGCAACGAUGCAUAGCCGACCUGAGAGGGUGAUCGGCCACACUGGAAAUGAGACACGGUCCAGACUCCUACGGGAGGCAGCAGUAGGGAAUCUUCCGCAAUGGGCGAAAGCCUGACGGAGCAACGCCGCGUGAGUGAUGAAGGUCUUCGGAUCGUAAAACUCUGUUAUUAGGGAAGAACAUAUGUGUAAGUAACUGUGCACAUCUUGACGGUACCUAAUCAGAAAGCCACGGCUAACUACGUG
This 497-nucleotide ribosomal RNA is filed under the name uncultured bacterium. RNAcentral describes it as "partial 16S ribosomal RNA". It matches the Rfam family "Bacterial small subunit ribosomal RNA", at positions 28 to 507 of the family's 1533-position model. The record is from RNAcentral.